Molecule: ribosomal RNA, 395 nt
Filed under: uncultured bacterium
Lineage: Bacteria
Description: partial 16S ribosomal RNA
Rfam family: Bacterial small subunit ribosomal RNA
Source: RNAcentral
AUACGUAGGGUGCAAGCGUUAAUCGGAAUUACUGGGCGUAAAGCGUGCGCAGGCGGUUUUGUAAGACAGGGGUGCAAUCCCCGGGGUCAACCCUGGGACUGCCAUUGUGAAUGCAAGGCGGGAGUGCGGCCGAGGGGGAUUGAAAUCCGCGUGUAGCAGGGAAAUGCGUAGAUAUGGGGAGGAACACCGAUGGCGAAGGCAAUCCCCUGGGCCUGCACUGACGCUCAUGCACGAAAGCGUGGGGAGCAAACAGGAUUAGAUACCCUGGUAGUCCACUCCCUAAACGAUGUCAACUGGUUGUUGGGGAUUUAUUUUCUCAGUAACGAAGCUAACGCGUGAAGUUGACCGCCUGGGGAGUACGGCCGCAAGGUUAAAACUCAAAGGAAUUGACGGGG